RNAcentral lists this ribosomal RNA (427 nucleotides) under uncultured bacterium. RNAcentral's name for it is "bacterial SSU rRNA". It matches the Rfam family "Bacterial small subunit ribosomal RNA", at positions 355 to 774 of the family's 1533-position model. The record is from RNAcentral.
UGGGGAAUUUUGGACAAUGGGCGCAAGCCUGAUCCAGCAAUGCCGCGUGCAGGAUGAAGGCCUUCGGGUUGUAAACUGCUUUUGUACGGAACGAAACGGUCUUUUCUAAUACAGAGACUUAAUGACGGUACCUGAAGAAUAAGCACCGGCUAACUACGUGCCAGCAGCCGCGGUAAUACGUAGGGUGCAAGCGUUAAUCGGAAUUACUGGGCGUAAAGCGUGCGCAGGCGGUUAUAUAAGACAGAUGUGAAAUCCCCGGGCUCAACCUGGGAACUGCAUUUGAGACUGUAUAGCUAGAGUACGGCAGAGGGGGAUGGAAUUCCGCGUGUAGCAGUGAAAUGCGUAGAUAUGCGGAGGAACACCGAUGGCGAAGGCAAUCCCCUGGGCCUGUACUGACGCUCAUGCACGAAAGCGUGGGGAGCAAACA